Molecule: RNA transcript, 4302 nt
Organism: Triplophysa rosa
Lineage: Eukaryota; Metazoa; Chordata; Actinopteri; Cypriniformes; Nemacheilidae
Gene: lrrtm4l1
Gene name: leucine rich repeat transmembrane neuronal 4 like 1
Exons: 3
Source: RefSeq, a predicted model, not a curated record
CGGCGGGUGACACACAUUUCCUCUCGCGCAAAGCUCACAGAUGUAGUCUUAGGGCUCUUUCUUUUCUUUGCCUACCCCUGGUAGUAUCGGAGGGUCGAUACGCAUGUGCAUGAAUUAAAGAUUUUUUUCUCCAAUUAUGCAUACGAGUACAACUUUUGCUGGCGUCUUCUGAGACUUGAGAAUUUCACCGUAUUCUGUGUGAACGACGGAUGGCCGUCAGGUUAUUAAAUGCUGCGGGAUGUUUACCGAUGCGCCUUGUCGGAUUAAGUUGGAGUGCCAGCAAAUAACGCGUUUUGAAGUGUUUUCCGCCACGGAGCCAAAUCUGAACCGAUGAUGGUUUUAGUUCGUCUGUAAUACUGCUCGGACUACAGGUAAAAGUCUUUGUCCACCCUGGUGCCGUGGAGUGGAUCCUGACAGACUGAAGCUGCGCGGUUACCGCAGGGAUCAAGUGCGCGCAGCUGAUAUGGGUCCUGUUGUGUGUGACAAGAGAUUAGCGGGCCUCAUCUUUCUCCAAGCCUCUUCGCUUCUGCUGUUUGGUUCUGGUGAAAGGAUGUGCCCCUAUAGCUGCAACUGCGAGGGAAAGAUCGUCCAUUGUGAGUCAUCCGGCUUCCAGGACAUCCCUGAAAACAUUUCUGUUGCUUGCCAAGGUCUGUCCCUGCGCUACAAUAACCUGCACACAAUGCUCCCCUACCAGUUUGCCCAUCUCAACCAGCUGCUCUGGCUCUACCUGGACCACAACCAAAUUGAAUUUGUGGAUAGCCGUGCUUUUCAGGGGGUGCGUCGGUUGAAAGAGUUGAUCUUGAGCUCUAACCGGAUAUCACAGCUGCACAACGUCACUUUUCACGGAGCACCAAACCUCCGCAGUCUCGAUCUCUCUUAUAACAAGUUGCAGGAGCUGCAGCCAGGCCAGUUUUUUGGUCUUCGAAAACUGCAGAAUCUGCACUUGCGUUCCAACGGGCUCACUACCAUCCCUGUCCGGGCGUUUCUGGAGUGCAGGAGUUUGGAGUUUCUGGAUUUGGGCUACAAUCGGCUUCGUGUUGUCACUCGCACGGCAUUCCUGGGGUUAUCGCGACUAAUGGAACUCCACCUGGAGCACAAUCAGUUUUCAAGAAUCAACUUCUUUCUCUUUCCUCGUCUGGUUAACCUUCGCUCCCUGUAUCUGCAAUGGAACCGCAUUCGAGCUGUCAAUCAAGGUCUUCCGUGGAGCUGGUACACCUUGCAGAAGCUUGAUAUUUCUGGCAACGAGAUACAGACACUCGAUCCUGUAGUGUUUCAAUGCCUUCCCAAUCUUCAGGUUCUCAACUUGGAGUCUAACAAACUGGCAAAUGUGUCCCAUCAAGUUGUGGCCGCUUGGAUUUCCCUGACAACUAUUAGUCUCGCUGGUAAUAUGUGGGACUGUGGGCUGGGCAUUUGUCCUCUUGUCGUAUGGCUCAAGAAUUUUAGAGGCACUAAAGACACUAGUAUAAUCUGCAGCAGUCCCAAGCACCUUCAAGGGGAGAAGGUUAUGGAGGCCACAAAAAACUUUAUUGACUGUGAUGAUUAUGAAAUCACCGCUCAGUCACCGUUGUAUCUCCAAACCUUCGAGCCAAGUUUUGAGCUCACUGUUGAACCCACAAUGGCUCCUACAACAUCCCCUCCACCCCUGCCUUCACCCGCUUCCGAGGCGCCCAUUCCUCCUCCCCAACCACAACCUCCUCAACGGCCCACCUUUCAUAGCCGUACACACACACACCCCAGGGACUCCCAUCACUGGACACCCUCAUCCUCCAACAGUUUAUUAGUGACCGCAGCUCCUGAUCCGGACAACGUUUCAUUCCACAAAGUGGUGAUGGGAGGCGUAGCGCUGUUUUUCUCCGUAUUGUUCAUCUUGUCAGUUAUUUACGUGUCCUGGAAACGAUACCCCGGUGCAACCAGGCUGCUUCAGCAGAAUUCAGUUGUGGGUCGAAAACGGAGGAAAAAGAGUCAGGAGCCAGAACAGAACCUGAGCUCCCAGCUCCAGGAAUAUUACAUGAGCUACAACCCGGCCGCCUCACCGGAAGCCAUGGAGGUGCUGGGCAAUGGGACUGGUACCUGCACCUGCACCAUAUCCGGCUCCAGGGAAUGUGAGGUAUGACAUGUGAAAGGCAGCCUAAAAACAAAUCAGAUCAAAACAAAUGAACGACUCAGGACAUAGAGAAUGAAUACACCUGUCCGAGACCAUUACCUGGAGCUUGGAUUGGAGACAUGCCCACCAUACACUAACGGGAAUGUUUUGUUCACCACAAAGUAAUCCACAGGUGGAUUUUUGUGCCUACCUGCAUUCUAACAAUCACAUCAACUUUUGUUCCCGUCAUGCCACUCAUUUUGUCACUGCUUCGAGAUCGUUCCGCAUAUCCCUGAAUCAUCACAAAUUGGACAUUUGAGAGACAGAACAGAUGCGGCAAAUCCUCAGAUGCAUAUUUGACAACAAUUCUCUUUGGAUGGCCCACUUUGUACUUUGUCUAAUUCAACUGGACGGACUUGACCAAACAGGUGGGUGUGUAGUUCAUUGGGGUUGCGAUAAAGCCUCCAGACGGACCAUAUGAAACAGGGUCACAGCGCUCAAAUAAAGAGCAAUGAAACAUAUCCAGCCUUUUAUGAAAUACCCAGCGCCAAAAUGAACUUUUGAUUGAAACUGUAUGUGGGAUCUUCACAUAAACUCUAAAUGUGACUGAACCACAGUCUUUGUUCAUACACCCUCGAAUAUAAAGCCCAUCCUUUGUUAUUUAAUGGAAAUCCUCAAAAUUUGUGUUUCAGAAUAUCUCAUAAUAAAAAUGACUUUGAGGUAAACCUCUUAUGUUUGCUGUCUAAUACUGGAUUUGUUUUGCAGGUCCACUGGAUUUACUCUGUACAGUUUUGUUUUAUUGAGAGCCCUUUAUAACAGCAAUAGACUUUGUGCUGUUAUGCAGACUUUAAACAUGGCCUAUGAACUCUGACUAUGCCAACACUGAUGUAAUGUCAUUUUAUUGGUCAGUGUGUAAACGUUGGGAUGUUUGUAAGCAAAUGUGUGUGUACAUGUCAAGAUUUAAAAUAAGAAUAACACAUUUUGAAAGCAAGUGUGUAAUUUUGUACCAUGUUAAAAUGCUGUAUUUUUCUUUAUCCUGGGUUAAUAAGCAGCUAUAAGGAAGCACUAACGCUAAAUUUUCCCUGUGUCUGAAAUCGCCUACUUUCAUCGGACACGCAUGCCUGGCCCUAAGUUAACUUCUGAUCUGUGUUUGGUUAGAAUAUAUAAUUAAAUAUUUUACAUUUAAUUUAUAUAAAUAUUAAUUUAUAUUCAUACGUUGUUGUAUAUUAAUUGUAUUAAAUUAAAACUACCCAACAGUUAUUGAUUCUUUGCGGAGGUCUACCGGAAGUUACGUUUGGGCCACAUAACAUUUGUUUAUGUUGUUGCCGCUGAAACCGUCUGUAGUAGGCAAAAAAACAUUUUGUGAAAAAAUACCCAGAUGGGCUAUGGCUUCUGCUGAGAUUUGAGAGUUGGCAUUACGUAUUCUAUUCUACGGACACUAUUCUAUCCCAUGAUGCCACGGGAGCUGAGCAACCACCGAUUUCAAAGAGUCAAAAUAAAAAAUAGCUGGUGUUUGUUUUCAAGUGCAAGUACCGAUAAAUGUAUUCCUCAUGAUUAAAUUACGUUCGUUUAUCAACAGCUACUUAUAUUAUUUUUGCGCCGUUGUUAAUACGUCAUAUACGCGUCACAUGACAAUGAAAACAUGGCGGGUGCAGUAUGUCCGAAUUGUAUUCAUACUGCACCCACACCUAUAAACACACUGUUUUAAUGGUUGAUAUCUAAAUGAUCCGAAUCAGUACGUACUGUCACAGUAUGCGAUUUCAGACGCGGUGACUGGCUUAAACUAUGUUUUAGGGCGGGGCUAUUUGUUCGCUCAACCAAUAGAAAACAGGUGGCGUAAAUAUUUCAUUGCAGUAUUAGGAAUGAUUUCAUUAUUAUCUAUUCAUUAUUUAUUUUUUACAAAGCUGACACAGUGGUACAGAAAUUACACACUUUACCUGUCAAAUGUGUGUUAAGGAUGAGAGUGCUUGUUUGUGUGUGUUCAGAUUUUUCAUCAACUGAUUGAAUAGAUGACCUGUUCAGUCUUUUAUUCAGGGUCCAUCUGCCCCUGAAUCCUGCAGUAUUGCCAUUUAAAAGUACAGCUGUUCUGUAAAAUAUCUUUGCUGCCCACUUUUAAUUUAUUAAUUACAUUUUGUAACACAAUAUAUAAAUUGUACACCACCAAUUUCUGUUUUCUAAUGAGAACUUUGUCAAAAUCAAUGGUGAGAAAUACACAUUUG